GAUGAACGCUGGCGGCGUGCCUAAUACAUGCAAGUCGAGCGAACGGACGAGAAGCUUGCUUUUCUGAUGUUAGCGGCGGACGGGUGAGUAACACGUGGAUAACCUACCUAUAAGACUGGGAUAACUUCGGUAAACCGGAGCUAAUACCGGAUAAUAUUUUGAACCGCAUGGUUCAAAAGUGAAAGACGGUCUUGCUGUCACUUAUAGAUGGAUCCGCGCUGCAUUAGCUAGUUGGUAAGGUAACGGCUUACCAAGGCAACUAUGCAUAGCCGACCUGAGAGGGUGAUCGGCCACACUGGAACUGAGACACGGUCCAGACUCCUACGGGAGGCAGCAGUAGGGAAUCUUACGCAAUGGGCGAAAGCCUGACGGAGCAACGCCGCGUGAGUGAUGAAGGUAUUCGGAUCGUAAAACUCUGUUAUUAGGGAAGAACAUAUGUGUAAGUAACUGUGCACAUCUUGACGGUACCUAAUCAGAAAGCCACGGCUAACUACGUG
RNAcentral lists this ribosomal RNA (497 nucleotides) under uncultured bacterium. RNAcentral's name for it is "partial 16S ribosomal RNA". It matches the Rfam family "Bacterial small subunit ribosomal RNA", at positions 28 to 507 of the family's 1533-position model. The record is from RNAcentral.